RNAcentral lists this transfer RNA (71 nucleotides) under Loxodonta africana (African savanna elephant). It matches the Rfam family "tRNA". From Rfam's summary of the family: Transfer RNA (tRNA) molecules are approximately 80 nucleotides in length. The record is from Rfam by way of RNAcentral. Lineage: Eukaryota; Metazoa; Chordata; Mammalia; Proboscidea; Elephantidae.
GCAUUGGUGGUUCAGUGGUGGAAUUCUCACCUUCCAUGUGAGAGAUCCGGGUUCAGUUCUCAGCCAGUGCA